RNAcentral lists this long non-coding RNA (1391 nucleotides) under Bemisia tabaci. Its description in RNAcentral is "lncRNA ENSSSA2NGG003378". Lineage: Eukaryota; Metazoa; Arthropoda; Insecta; Hemiptera; Aleyrodidae. The record is from RNAcentral.
CAAAUUUUAUAUUUUUAAAUCAAAACAAUCUUUCAUAUACUUUUCAAGCUUUCUCUGCUGCGUUUUUGCAAAGUGGAAGGAGUCAGCCUAGCUUCACGUAAUUCAAGGGGGGGGGGGGUCCAAAAGUUGGCCAAAAUGCCUUACGUAAUACUUGAACGGCCCCACCUGCUUGGUUCCACUUUUUUGGGCAAUUGUUUUUGCCGCAAAUGCUCGUAGAGUACUCCAGGGCCCGUGUCCACAUGAGUAAUCUCCCCACAAAGGUACUUAACCGGUAUGUAGGUCAACCUAAUGCCUAUAUAAUGCAAUGAAUGAUCGAGAAGAGUAUGAUAAAAGUGACAACAUGAGAAGCCCGUGAGAUAGAGUGAUAGCAGCCAGGGAAAACCGGCAAACCGGUCCCCGCAAUCCCCCCCUCCUCCCCCCUCCCUUUCUUUUUAUCACUUUUUAGUGCUUCGGAACCUCAGUACUCGGUCCUGUCGCGGUCUCGGCGCGGCGCCGGCGCUUCCUCGGGCUUCAAAGAUAUUGCGUCCAAGUUUGAUCGUUGAUCCAAGCAAUGAGUAUUGUAUGGCAAGAGCAUGUACAUACAAGGUUUUUACGCCGGAGUCGGUGUCACGUCGGGUGGGGUGUUGGGCGGUCCGGUCCGCGGUUCGCGGUUCAUCGGUCCAGUGCUCUGAGCUAGUGUCGCUUCGCCUCUUGAGCAAAGAGUAUUCUCGGGACCUCGGGUAGCGCCAGCGACGAGUGCGAAAGUUUCACCGCGUUCAUUGAUCUCGUGGCUUCCACCGCGCACCAGGUUCGUGUCCUUCUGUUUAUUUUACGUUCUCGUCUUGUUUAUCAACUCGCCAAAGUUUACUCAGGACCACUCAUGAACGCAGCGUCCACUCCGUGUAACCAUCCUAGAGUCAGUUCUUUUUUUCUUCUCCUCAAUCGGUAGUUGCUAUGUGCUCAAAAAAAACAAGGGGACCACUCCCCCUGGCCGCUGGCCGCGCAUCGCGCCCUCAAAGGCCCCCUCUCGCGGCUCUUCUUGAGUUGUACUCUACAUAGAGCGUCCUGCAGUAGGGACUAUCUCCUAUCGAUAGCCGCAAAAAUCAAUAAAAUCGGCCCUUUGCAUGAGAUCUUCAGGACGAAAUGUGACGAAUUUUACACUUACAUGAGAAAUUUUAAUCUCCAAAUCAAUUGAUCGCUGAGAACAGCUCUAAACUGCCCCUAAGACGCCGCAAUUUCUCAAAUUUUUGGGGGAAGGUCCCCCGGGCUCCGCUAGACUGGUAAAUCCUCGAGCUUCCUUUUGGAGCUGGGGAGGCCCACAAAUCAUCCUUGAUGGGAUAUUUUAUAUAGUGUUUCCUAGACCUCCCUCAACUAUAUGUCCGUCUGGCACUCCGUCCUCCACAAAAAGCUUU